This 74-nucleotide transfer RNA is filed under the name Pyrenophora teres f. teres. RNAcentral's name for it is "tRNA-Ala". It matches the Rfam family "tRNA". Rfam says of the family: Transfer RNA (tRNA) molecules are approximately 80 nucleotides in length. Their secondary structure includes four short double-helical elements and three loops (D, anti-codon, and T loops). The record is from RNAcentral. RNAcentral also lists the same sequence under 2 other names. Lineage: Eukaryota; Fungi; Ascomycota; Dothideomycetes; Pleosporales; Pleosporaceae.
GGGCUUGUGGUUUAGUGGUAUAAUACUCCCUUAGCAUGGGAGUGGUCCAGGGUUCGGUAAGCUUAGCAAACUCA